AUCAAACUUCUGAAUUUUUUUUUUAUUUGAAUGAUAAAUUCAAAUUGCAAAUGAAUGAUAAAUUCAAUUUUUCAUCAUAAUUUGUGUAUGUAUGUCACACAUUAGCAACUCAGUUGCUUUCUGGAAUAUGUUGAAGAUUGAACCGAACCCAUUCCCCACAACAAGUGAAUGACAUCAAGAAGUAUUAGGCAUAAGCAAGC
This 200-nucleotide long non-coding RNA is filed under the name Elaeis guineensis (African oil palm). RNAcentral describes it as "long non-coding RNA (EGUI_LNC047804)". Lineage: Eukaryota; Viridiplantae; Streptophyta; Magnoliopsida; Arecales; Arecaceae. The record is from RNAcentral.